RNAcentral lists this RNase P RNA (370 nucleotides) under Bacteroidales bacterium. RNAcentral's name for it is "RNase P RNA component class A". It matches the Rfam family "Bacterial RNase P class A". From Rfam's summary of the family: Ribonuclease P (RNase P) is a ubiquitous endoribonuclease, found in archaea, bacteria and eukarya as well as chloroplasts and mitochondria. Its best characterised activity is the generation of mature 5'-ends of tRNAs by cleaving the 5'-leader elements of precursor-tRNAs. Cellular RNase Ps are ribonucleoproteins. Lineage: Bacteria; Pseudomonadati; Bacteroidota; Bacteroidia; Bacteroidales. The record is from RNAcentral.
CGAUGAGAGGAGACUGUCGCGGGUCGGGAAAGCCGGCGCGAGGAAAGUCGGGACAGCGCAGAGCACCAUACUUCCUAACGGGAAGGGAUCCGCAAGGGUCACAGCAAGUGCCACAGAAAACUACCGCCCCGAAAGGGGUAAGGGUGAAAACGUGAGGUAAGAGCUCACGCGUCGGGUGGCGACAUGCCGACGGGGUAAACCUUAUGGGCUGCAAAACCAAGUAAGAAGAUGCUGGUCCGCAAGGGCCGAGAGGGCUGCUCGUCCGAGUCUUUUGGGUAGGUCGCUUGAGCCUGCAGGUGACUGCAGGCCUAGAGAAAUGACAGUCGCCCCGCAAGGGGAACAGAAUCCCGCUUACCACUCUCAUCGCUUU